This 1228-nucleotide ribosomal RNA is filed under the name Alectorobius sawaii. Its description in RNAcentral is "Carios sawaii partial large subunit ribosomal RNA". The stretch from base 930 to 1133 matches the Rfam family "Archaeal large subunit ribosomal RNA", at positions 2165 to 2707 of the family's 2987-position model. Lineage: Eukaryota; Metazoa; Arthropoda; Arachnida; Ixodida; Argasidae. The record is from RNAcentral.
AGGAAAAAUUAAUUGAUGUUGUUAAUAAAAAUAGAAAUAUUAAUUUAGUAAUAAAAUUGAAUUUUUGAGAUUAUCAAUAGAUUAGUGUAUUGUAAGAGAAUUUUGAAAAAUUGAAAAAUGUUUUUUAGAGAAGUUAUGUUUUGUACCUUUUGUAUUAGGGGUUAACUAAAUUAAUUAAAUAUUUAUUUUUCCCGAAAAAUUUUGAGCUAUUUGCACAUUUUUAUGUUGUUGCAAAAAUAUAGAUUAGUGUUAAGUAGAAAUGAAAUUUUACUCGAAAAGUUGGAUAUCUGGUUAUUUUAGAGAAAUUAAAUAUUUUAAAUAAUUAUUUCAUUUUUAUGAAGUUAUUUAUUUACUUUUUAGGGAUAAGCUUAAAAAGUUAAUAUAAAGAUUUAUUGUGAGGUUGUUUAAGGUUUAAAAUUUACUGAGUUUUUGUAAUAAAAUAGCUAGAUGGUUUUUAAAUGUUAUUAAUUUUUUUUUAAAUAAUUGAGUUUAAGAAAAUUUAUGUUAAUAUUAGUAUAAAUUUGGGGUUUUAAUAAAAUUAAUAGUAUUUUAGUAAAGUGAUUAAAUUUAUAGGAAUUAGGCAAUAUAAAUUUUUGAAUGUUUAUCAAAAACAUUGUAUUUUGAGGUAGUAAAAUAUAAAACCUGCUCAAUGAUGCUUAAAUUGCUGUGGUAUUUUGACUAUACGAAGGUAUUGAAAUAAGGCUUUAAUUGAGUGCUAAGAGAAUGGUUUAACAAAGAUUAACUUUCUUUAAAUUUAUAAUAGAAGUUGAUUUAAAAAUGAAAAAGUUUUUAUUUAUUUUUGGGACAAGAAGACCCUAUGAAUUUUUUUUAUGACUUUGUUUAAAAUUUUUUGAAAAUAAAAUGAAGUAAAUUUAUAAGUUGAUUGGGGUGAUUUUUAAAGAAUAUUUAUCUUUAAAAUUUGUAGGAAUUAGAACCAAAAAUUUUGGUUGUUUGAAUAAAAUACUCUAGGGAUAACAGCGUAAUUAUUUUGGAUAGUUCAUAUAGAUAAAAUAGUUUGCGACCUCGAUGUUGGAUUAAGAUACUAGUAUAAUGAAGCAGUUAUAUUAAGAAGUUUGCUCAACUUUUGAAAUCUUACAUGAUCUGAGUUCAGACCGGCGUAAGCCAGGUUGGUUUCUAUCUGAAUAAGUAUAAGAAAUUUUUUAGUACGAAAGGAAUUAAAUUUAUAAAUUAUUUAGUUAAUUAUUUUGAAUAUAAUGUUAAUAUUCUA